Camelus dromedarius (Arabian camel) is the source of this 2168-nucleotide long non-coding RNA. RefSeq lists it as uncharacterized. The record is from RefSeq and is a predicted model, not a curated record. The transcript is spliced from 7 exons. NCBI's taxonomy places the organism in Eukaryota, Metazoa, Chordata, Mammalia, Artiodactyla, Camelidae.
UGUUCGGGGCUCUCUGAUUGGUGCACCGGCUGCUAGGCCCGCCUUCUCAGUCGGGGCGGAGCAGAGGGAAAAGAAGAGGGGCCCCGAGAAGGCAGUGGGAGGUCGCGGGGCGGGAAUCCGCGGCAGGCAGGCAAGCAAGGAGGAGGGUGCGAGCAGAAGAAAAAGGAGGAACAAUGAAGAGAAAGAACCAAUAUGAGCACUAUGGCUGAAGUGGCCCUCCAGUGUCCUCCUAGACUUGAAUUCUUUGACUACCCGGGAAGGUAGCGAGUCUUAUUUUUCAGAAAACACACCCAAAGAGGUGGCCGGAACUAGACUGAGCAGGUCUUUGGCUCCGAAUCUCUAGUUCUCAGCACUGAGGAGGAAAGUGUCUGCAAAGGCUUAGCCAAGGGGGUGAAUAGAAGCAGUUCAUCAUGCAACCUGUGAUAAAAUCAGCUUCUCCUGUCCCAAACUGCUAAGUCUUUUGUUGUCAGUUAGCCUCUUACCUAAUUUGGUUGGUCUCCCUGUUUGCAUUAACUGUCCUGCGCAGCGACCACUUCUGGAGCCUUUUAGUUCCCAGACCAUUGACAUAUUUUAGUUCAUUCAAAUGUUUGGGGGCAAUCUGCUCUGAGCCAGGCUCGGAGUUAGGAGUGAGCCCGGUGGGCCUGCCCUCUGAGACCAACCUCUCCAAGCUCAAGACCAGGUGGAGAAGCAGACAGGGGCACAGACAGAGACAAAUACAGUGGAUGAGAACUAGUAAUAGGGAACAUAACAGGGAACUGGAGGAGCUCGGUGGAGGCAGGGGGUCAGGGUAGAGGUGGACUCAGAGAAGGCUUCUCUCACAAAGUUAUCCAAGCUACUGGCAGGAUGCAUACCCUGAGUUAGGCAGGGUCCAGGCAGAGGGAGCUUCAAGAGGCCUGGGCAGCCAGAGAAUGCAAUGCCCACAGAAAGCUGGAAAGAUCCUGUGGCUCCCCAACUCCAGGAGGGGAUUUCAAAGGAGGGAGCCGGCCAAGGAUGUCCCAAGGCCUAGGUGGCUUCUCAGCUGUGACCGAUUUUGAAUUUGACUGAAUACCACUAGGUUCUCCAAGGCGGGAGGGAGAUUAUCCCAGAUUAUGAGUGUGAAGACAUCCAAUAUAGUUACGAGAGUCCUUCCAAUGCGAAAGAGAGAGACCGAAGAGAAAACAGAGAGACGGCAGCGUGGGAAGGACUCAGCUCUACAACGGCUGACUUUGCAGAUGGAGGAAGGGGGCCAUGAACCAAGGAAUGCAGGAAGCUUCUAGAAGCUGGAAUUCUCUCCUACAGCCUCCAGAAAGAAUGCAGCCUCGCUGACACCUUGAUUUGGGCCCCAUAAGACCCAUUUUGUACUUUGAACCUUUAUAAAGUGUGCUGGUUAAGAGCCGUGGACUCUGGAGCCCUGCCACAUCCCACCUCUGCCCUUGAACAAGUUAUCUGGACUCUCUGGGUCUCAGCCUCCUCAUCUAUGAUGAAGAAUGAUAAAAACACUGUGUCAUAGGAUUGUUGGGGGAGAAUUUAAAGAAUCUCUAAAGGACUGGCCUACGCCUGGCACGUGAGCCUGGCACACAGGAGAGGGAAUGAAUGAAUUGAUGGAUGAAUAAGUGGAGUAAGGAUGAGGAAAACUGGGUUUGGAGUCAGCACACCUGCUUGCACUCUCUUCCCUUAGGAGCUUUGUAACCUUGGGGUGGCCAGUAGCUUCUGGGGGCAGCAGGAGGGCCUUGCCCUGAUAUUCCUGUGGCUGAGAUUCUCAGACAGGAGAGCGCAAUGAAAGUGGAACAGUGAACUUGGGGAGCUGAUGGUCCUGAGGUCAUGCAGUUGGAGCCACAGACAGAGGGUGCCUGCAUCCUGGCUAAAAGGAGUGUGGGGCGAGAAGUGACUGAGCAUCAUUUUCAGAUCUGACCUAUGAAAAAAUCUCCCACUUCAUCCUCUACCCUCGCUUUCCCCAUCUGCCAGCUGGAUAUCUGUGCCCAGGGCCACCUGGGAAGCCACGUGUGAAAACAGCAGAGCCUCCAUCAACCAGCUGGAUCCCUUGACGACUCCAUGAAGCAAAGCCCUUCCCACCCCAUCCCUCCCUGCUGCUGAGUGAACUUUAGAAUACUAAGAAAUUAACUGCUGCUGGGGGAGGAUGUAAGUCAGCGGUAGGGUGCAUGCUUAACAUGCAUGAGGUCCCGGUUCAA